UACAGGGGGGGGCAAGCGUUGUUCGGAAUUACUGGGCGUAAAGGGCUCGUAGGCGGCCAACUAAGUCCGACGUGAAAUCCCAAAGCUUAACUUUGGAACUGCGUCGGAUACUGGAUGGCUUGAAUUCGGGAGAGGGAUGCAGAAUUCCAGGUGUAGCGGUGAAAUGCGUAGAUAUCGAGAGGAACACCUGCGGCGAAGGCGGGUUGCUGGGCUGAUACUGACGCUGAGGCGCGAAAGCCAGGGGAGCGAACGGG
RNAcentral lists this ribosomal RNA (254 nucleotides) under uncultured bacterium. Its description in RNAcentral is "partial 16S ribosomal RNA". It matches the Rfam family "Bacterial small subunit ribosomal RNA", at positions 524 to 776 of the family's 1533-position model. The record is from RNAcentral.